UAGGGAAUCUUCGGCAAUGGACGAAAGUCUGACCGAGCAACGCCGCGUGAGUGAAGAAGGUUUUCGGAUCGUAAAACUCUGUUGUUAGAGAAGAACAAGGACGUUAGUAACUGAACGUCCCCUGACGGUAUCUAACCAGAAAGCCACGGCUAACUACGUGCCAGCAGCCGCGGUAAUACGUAGGUGGCAAGCGUUGUCCGGAUUUAUUGGGCGUAAAGCGAGCGCAGGCGGUUUCUUAAGUCUGAUGUGAAAGCCCCCGGCUCAACCGGGGAGGGUCAUUGGAAACUGGGAGACUUGAGUGCAGAAGAGGGGAGUGGAAUUCCAUGUGUAGCGGUGAAAUGCGUAGAUAUAGGGAGGAACACCAGUGGCGAAGGCGGCUCGCUGGACUGUAACUGACGCUGAGGCGCGAAAGCGUGGGGAGCAAACAGG
RNAcentral lists this ribosomal RNA (429 nucleotides) under Gemmatimonadota bacterium. RNAcentral's name for it is "Gemmatimonadetes bacterium partial 16S ribosomal RNA". It matches the Rfam family "Bacterial small subunit ribosomal RNA", at positions 355 to 776 of the family's 1533-position model. Lineage: Bacteria; Pseudomonadati; Gemmatimonadota. The record is from RNAcentral.